This is a long non-coding RNA of Mobula hypostoma (lesser devil ray), 5370 nucleotides long. RefSeq lists it as uncharacterized. Lineage: Eukaryota; Metazoa; Chordata; Chondrichthyes; Myliobatiformes; Myliobatidae. The record is from RefSeq and is a predicted model, not a curated record. The transcript is spliced from 7 exons.
GAACUACAACACCUUUAAAUGUGAAACAAAGAGUCUUUUGAUAAAGACAUAGCAGUCCAACAAUUCACUGAACAAGAUGAACUCGCUACUGAAAGCAAAUGCUCCCAGACCUCUGGCACACUUCUAGUGUCUUCCACGGUGAAGACAGAUGCAAGACUGAAGACUGAUUUGAUGGAGACAGCCGUGAGAAGCACGAAGGAACAUCUGGAGAAACUUCUGAAAUGCCCGCUUUGCUGCCACUGCUACUGUGCGAUUGAGAAUCUCUGGCGGGGAAGACCCCAGAUCCUCGGCUUUGCCUAUUGCCUGUUGCUGGGGCUGGAGUCGAAGCGCUCGGCAGAGAUGGUGCUCGGUGCUCGGUGUCGGAGGGCUGGUCGGAAGCUCGAAGUUUUCAGACGGACUCAAGAGUCGGCUGUGUUCGGGUGCUUCCAGGGUGCUGCAUUGGCAAGUUUGCGGCGCUGGAAGCUCAUGGCAGGAAGAGAAUUUCUCUUCCUUCUACUGUCUGUGUGAGAUGAUGGGACUUUCGAGAGACUUUGAGACUUUUUUUUAACCGUGCCCAUGGUCUGUUCUUUAUCAAAUUAUGGUAUUGCUUUGCACUGUUGUAACUAUGUGUUAUAAUUAUGUGGUUUUUGUCAGUUUUUCAGUCUUGGUUUGUCUUGUGUUUCUGUGAUAUCAUUCUGGAGGAACAUUGUCUCAUUUCUUAAUACAUGCAUUACUAAAUGACAAUAAAAGAGGAUUACGUGUCCUCAUAAUCUAAAAAAAAGUACCCAUUGAGUUCAUCUGCCAUUUCUUUGUCCCCCAUUAAUACCUCACCAGCUUCAUUUUCCAGUGGUCCAAUAUCAACGUUCACCCCUCUUUUACUCUUUGUAUAACUGAGAAACUUUUAGUAUCCUGCUUUAUAUUAUUGGCUAGUCUGCCUUCAUAUUUCAGCUUUUCCCUUCUUAUAGCUUUUCAGUUGCCUUUUGUUGGAUUUUUAAACCUUCCCAAUCAUCCAUCCCACUCACUUUUGGCACCUUAUAUGCUCUUUCCUUGGCUUUUAUACAGUCUUUAACUUCCCUUAUCAACCACAGUUGUCUACCCCUGCCAUUUGAGAAUAUCUUCUUCUGUGUGACAUACCUAUCCUGCGCCUUGCGAACUAUUCUCAGAAACUUCAGUUUCCUCUGCCAGUAUCCUUUUCCAAUACACCUAGGCAAGCUCCUUCUUCAUGCCUCUGUAAUUCUCUUUAUUCCAUUGAGACACUAAGACAUGUACGUUAUUUAAUGCACUCUCAAUUUGCAGUUUAAAGCUAAUCAUAUUAUGCAGUUUAAAGCUAAUCAUAUUAUGAUCACUGUCUCCUUUACAUUAAGUUCCCUAUUAAGAUUUGGGUUAUUACAUAACACCCAAUCUAAGAUAGACUUUCCCCUAGUAGGCUCAAGCAAAGUUCCUCUAAAAAGCCAUCUCACAGGCAUUCAAAAAAUCCCCUCUCUUGCAAUCCUAUACCAACGUGAUUUUCCCACUUCCCUUACAUCUUGAAGUCCCCCAUUACAAUUGUGACAUUACCCUUAUUACAUGCCUUUUCCAGCUCCCUUUGCAAUCUCAACCCCACAUCUUGGUUACUAUUUGGAAACCUAUAUAUGAUUCCCAUAAUGUUUUUAUUCACCCUUGCAGUUUGUUAACUCCACCCACAAAGAUUCAACAUUCUCUGACCCUAUGUCACCUCUUUCUAAAUAUGUAAUUCCAUCGCUUACCAAGAGAGCCACACCACCGCCUCUGCCUUCUUGCCUGUCCUUUUGAUACUAAAUAUAUCCUUUCAUGUUAAGCUCCCAACUAUGGCCUUCUUCCAGCCAUGACAAGUGAUGCCCACAACGUCAUAACGACCAAUCCCUAAUUGUGCCAUGAGUCUGUCCACCUUAUUCCGAAUGCCACGCGUAAUUAAAUACAGCAUUUUCUGUUUUGCAUUUUUCGCCCUUUUGGAUUUUGCUUCUGAGGCACAAUUUAACUCUUUGCUCUGUCUGCAUUUGUAGGUAAUCAUUGACUUGUCCUUCCUAACAUUCACGUUAAACCCAUUAUCUACUUGUAAGUCUGCUGGCUCAUCCUCAGCUCGAUCAUAGUAGUUCCCAUCCCCCUGCCAUAUUAGUUUAAACCAUUCCCAAUAGCUCCCGUAAACCUGCCCAUUAGAAUAUUCAUCCCCUUGGAUUCAAGUGCAACCCAUCCCUUUUGUGCAAGUCCCACCUGCCCCAGAAGAGGUCCCAAUUAUCCAGAAAUAUGAAUCCCUGUCCCUGCUCCAAUUCUUCAGCCACACAUUUAUCUGCCACUUCAUUCUAUUCUUAUCCUGACUGUCACAUGGCAUGGGCCGCAGUCAUGAGAUUAUUGCACUUGAGGUCCUGCUUCAUAGUUUCCUUCCUGUUUUCUGCUUUCAGGACCUCCUCCUUUUCUCUACCUAAGUCAUUGGUACCAAUAUGUACCACAACUUCUGCCUGAUCACCCUCCUUUUUCAGGAUAUCGUGGACGCAUUCAGAAACAUUGUGGACCUUGGCACCUAGGAGGUAAACUACUAUGUGUUUCUUUUUCACGUCCACAGAACCGCCUAUUUGUCCCCCUAAUUAUAGAGUCCCCUAUUUUUACUGCCAUCCUCUUCAGUUCCCUACCCUUAUGAGCCACAGAGCCAAACUUAGUGUCAGAGGUACGGCUGCUGUUGCUUCCCUCAGGCAGGUCGAGUUAACCAACAGUACUCAAAGUAGAGUACUUAUUGUUGAGGGGGAAGGGCACAGGGGUGUUCUCCACUAUCUGACAUUCUCCAUUUCCUCUUCUGACAGUCACCCAUUCAUCUGUCUCCUGUAGCCUUAUGAGAUCAUUCUUACCCUCAUCCAUUCGGCUCUAUAAUGAGUCAACCCAUAGCCAGGGAAGUGAUGACACCCUCCUCUUAGGCUGUUUGAGGUAACUUAUUUUUUAUUCUUUCUUACUUCUCUUCUAAUAUCUGUAUGUUUGCACAUCUGUGCAUUUGUAACACCAUAAUUUCCUUUGGGAUCAAUAAGGUAUCUAUCUAUUCAUCUUAUAAAACUUCAGCGGUUCUCUCCUCAGUUUCCUUUGCUCCUGAAAAAAUAAUCCAAGUUGAUCCAACUUCUCCUUAUAACACAUGUCCUCUAAUCCAGGCAACAUCUUGGUAAACCUCUUCUGUACCCUUUCUAAAGCAUCCAGACCCUUCCUAAAAUGGAAAGAUUCGAAAUGAAAGUGAUAUUCCAGAUGUGACCUAAAUAGAGUUUUAUGAAGCUGCAACAUAGCUUACUGACUCUUGAUUAAUAAAGGAAAGCAUACCAUAUGCAUUCUUUACCACACUAUAAACCGGAGUAGUCACUUUCCAGGAGGUACUGACCUGGAACCCAAGAUCCCUCUGCUCAUCAACACUAUUAAAGAUAUUGUCAUUAACAGUGAACGUCUCUUUACAUUGAUCUCCCAAAUUCAAACACUUCAUAUUCAGCCAGAUUAAACUCUAUCUGCUAUUUCUCUGCCCAGAUCUGCAUCUGAUCUAUAUCCCAUUGUAUCAUUUGCUAGUCUUCUACACUAUCCACAACACUACCAAUCUUCAUUUCACUUGCAAAUUUACUAACUCACCCAUCUAGAUUUUCAUCCAGGUAAAUUAUUUCAGUCAGAAACAGCAGAAGUCCCAGUACCAACAUCUGUAGAGCAACUCUAGUCAAAGACCUCCAGCCUGAAUAAAUUCCAUUAGUCACUACCUUCUGUCUUCUAUGUGUAAGGGGUUUCUUGUUUUAUUUUACUGCUAAUGUGAAUAAAAUGGCUUCUUUAUAAUGUUAAAAUAAAAUGGCUUCUCUGUACUGUUAACUGCUGAGACAGUGGUUCUCUAUAGCAGCUUGUUCUGGGUUAUAUUUACUGUUAACAAGAAUUGUAUUCAUUUGCUAACCAAUUGGGAUAGAUGUUAUUCUUUCUUGUGUGUCUGUAAACUAUUGUUUUUGCGGGCUUUGGGAGAAGGCGCGAUGGGGACAGAGAGAGGAGACGCGAUGCUGUAAGCUGGGCAACGGAACGGACCCUAAGCGGGAGUCCGAGGCCCAGGUUCUUUGGCGAGGAAAGGAGAUGAGGACAGACUCUUGUGGAGUGACUGGUCGACCACUGUGGUUGGUCCCAGGCGGCGCGUCGAGGAGGUCGGAGGGGAUCGAAUGGUGGAAAGAAGACUCUGUUAAUUGAGCUCCAACGGUUGUGCACGAAGUGGCUGAACUUUGAGCAGAAAAUCAGGACCGCACUGCAGUGCAUCUAGCAGAGCUAUUGCGUCACAAUGCCAAUGAUCCCGCGUUCGAGACUGAACUCUGCAAGUGUCCGUGUGAAAUUGGUUGUUAUCCCUGUGACGGCAUGGUCAGGAUAAGCCAGCUCCCUCCCACAUCCCAAAGAUUCGGCAGGUGUGCAGAGCCAUAACCAGGGUUUCAGACAAGUACAAGACAACCCUGGAAAUGCCCUGUAGCAACACUACAUGUUCCUCUGAAAGACAAAAGUGGAAGUGUCAAGAUCAAAUGUGAAGAAACUGAUGUAUGUGUUUACAGUCAAGAAAUUCUCAAGCUUCUCUCGGAUUCUCCAACUCAGAUUUGUGGAGGGAUAAAUUCCCAGAUGGACUGGGCAGCCUUGUCCACAUAACCAGAGAAACACUGCCACAAUGUCUUUGGAGAUCAGCAUGGAUUACCACCUGGUGCAGUAGGAUUUCCCACAGAUCCUUGUAAGAGGGGGAUACUCCACCCAUUGUACACCUUUCCAUCCUGACCAGCCCACUUACUUGCAAGGAAGACACAUCAAAGUUGCUGGUGAAUGCAGCAGGCCAGGCAGCAUCUCUAGGAAGAGGAUGCCAUGCACAAUUCUGAUUUGAUGGAGGCAGAUGUGAGAGCACGGAGGAACAUCUGGUGAAACUUCUGAAAUGCCUGUUUCGCUGCCGCUGCUACUGUGUGAUCCGAAAUCUCCGGAGGGGAAGGCCCUGAAUCCUCGGCUUUGCCUGUUGCUUGGCGGCCGGGGCUGGGGUCGGAGUGCUCAACAGAGAUGGUGCUCGGUGUCAGAGGCUCGAAGUUUUUGGACGGACUCAGAGUCAGACUGUGGUCGGGUGCUUCCAGGAUGCUGCAUCGGCAAGUUUGCGGCGCUGGAAGCUCAUGGCUCUCCCUUCUACCUUCUGCGUGAGAUGCUGGGGCUAUCGGGACUUUGAGACUUUUUUCCUACCGUGCCCAUGGUCUGCUCUUAUCAAAUUAUAGGAUUGCCUUGCACCGUUGCAACUGUACAUUAUAAUUAUGUGGUUUUUGUCAGUUUUAGUCUUUGUCUGUCUUGUGUUUCUGUGAUAUCAUACUGGAGGAACAUUGUAUCAUUUUUUAAUGCAUGCAUUUCUAAAUGACAAUAAACGAGAACUGA